RNAcentral lists this long non-coding RNA (2385 nucleotides) under Callithrix jacchus (white-tufted-ear marmoset). RNAcentral's name for it is "lncRNA (ENSCJAG00000072835.1)". Lineage: Eukaryota; Metazoa; Chordata; Mammalia; Primates; Cebidae. The record is from RNAcentral.
GAUACAUUUCAGACUCAAUAACACAUCUCAAUAAGGUUUGGUCUGCCUAAUUGCUGCCUCCUCUGAAGCCGUGCCCACUACCAUGGCCCCUGCUGUCUAAGCUCCAGCCUCUGAGGCCUCACUUCUGUUCUGCUGUCUGAAACCCUCUUUCUAAUUCUCCAAAAUGGCAGAUUAGAGAUGAUCACAAAUUCAUUGACAUUUCUCCAUCAACAGGUGGAAAUAUGUGUUCCCUCCCCUUGAAUCCGGACACGCUAUCUGACCAAUCAGGUCCAAGAGACAUAACACUCUGGUGUUUUGCGACCUUCAGCCACAGACUAGAAGCUACCAUCUUCUCUCUCUUUCUCUCUUUCCACCUGGAGCUGCCAUAUAAGAAGCCUGACUGCUUUGCUAGAGAGGAGAAGGAAGGAAAAAGUGACUGACUUCUGCCUCAAGACAUCCUCCUCGGCUUUUAAUGCCUUGGAUUGCAGCAGCGACUAUGGGACAAGCUAAUCCACUGGGAUGGUGAAGCAGAAAGGUGGAAAGAGCUUAGGUCAUUGAGGAUGUCAGUGAGCCUCAAAGUUAACCAACUCUGAACCCCCUACUUCCGUAUUUAGCAGUCAUGUGACUUUGGAAAUACCAACCAAGCCCUGUUUUCUUUACUUGCAAAAUGAGGAUAAAAACACUCAUGUCAUAGUAUUAUUGUGCAGAUUGAUUGGAUUAGGAAUCUGUACACCUGCAAUGCUUAGCAGAGUGCCUGAGUCUAAAAAAAAUGGUAGAUGAUAAUAAUAAGAUGGUUAAUAUUAAAAAUAAUACUACUGAUGAUUGUUGCUUAUCCUAAGAAGAGUAGAGUGAGGUCAUUACCUCCCAUAUUUAUGCUUUAGGUAAUCUGCUUUUCUUAGUGUAACUUUGAGAUUAUGUUAGGGUUUGGCUUGUUUGCUGAUUCAUCUUCUAAAGUUUUAAAAAUUAUGAUCAUAAUCUAAAUAUAUAUAUUUUUCUAAUGGAUGACAUCAUUGAUUCAUUCCUGGGUAGAGUCAGGAUAGGUUUUUAUCACAUGAACUUCUUUUGAGCCAGCUCUGCUUUCUGCUUUCUCAGUAAAUUUGCAAGCAGCACCAGGACUGGACACCACGUGCUAGUGGUCCAGGCUGGGUAGAUUUGGUUGCGCACCAUGAUGAAUGUUGCCCUGGGAGGUUGGCAGCCUCAUCCCUUUCAUGCUAUGUUAAUCAGACACACCAGUGCUCAUGUAUCAUAAGCAUGGCAAUUAGAGAUGAACCUCAAGGGGGGCAGUCUCAGGACAACCUCCCAUUAGAGCUAUUUUCAAUUCCUCUGGCCCCUUCUCUGCAGUGGACUCAGCCAGCUAGGCUGGGCUGUUAACUCUCCCUCUUUUCAAUGUGCUCUGGGACAUCUCAGGGUAAAUUGCAGACUUUCCAGCAUGGCCUCAAAGAUGAGAGAUAACCUGGCAUUGUGGUUGCCAAAGAAGACCCCGGAGUCAAAUUCUUCUGGUGGAGUUUGUCCAUCUAUGUUUGUGUGAUCUUAGGUGAGUUACUUUCCAUUGCAAGGGUCAUUCGUUUCUGCACUUUUAAAAUGAAGCAGUUGGACUUCUCAGCUGCAAGGUUCUCAGAUUAAAAAACUGCCAGACAAAUCUAUUUCUCAUGCGGGCAUGUAUUAAUUAAUUUAUUUUUCGCAGAAAGAAGUUUCUCUCAGGGUGAAGGUUCUUAGUGCUUGAAUAAAAUAAGUUAUCUUCAAGUGUGCCACACAUUUUUAUAAUAUUCAAUUGUCUUCUCGUCUGGAUGAAAAGACCCCAAAUUUUACACAGUAAAGUUCACAUCAAUCUUUUAUUUCCACCAGAUAGCUCAAGGUUAUGAUGUUCUCUUGUCUUUGAAAGAAAACAAGGCCAGACAGAGCGGAAUGUAUGAAUUAGGCCUAGCUUUCCUCUUGGAGGAACAGGAGGGCAAUGCUACUGCCCCAUUUUUUGCUGUUCAUAAUUUAUUAUUACAGAGAUUUAUAAAGGGCCUUUUCAUAUGCACUUCACAAAGCAGAUUGGAACAGAAAAGUCAUCUAGUGAAACCUACUAAAUUACUGAUAUAGGGAGAAAGUUGAGUUGGGUUUGAGGAGCCCAACGUGACGAAUACUACUGUUCUUAGAGAUCAUUACUAAGACUCUGUUCCUUGGAGGACCUUAUGCUUCUACUCUGAGCACCAGGAAAAGGAAUGGGGGCGAAGUGUGGGUCUCUCUGAACUCUCCAUCUUGUUCAAUUGCUGCCACUUUAGGAGUCAUUAAAUGGGAAUGUCACAAUGCCAGCUUCUAUUGCCUUUGCUAACUUUCUAGAACAUUCUCCCCAAAACGUUUUAGCCUCUUCCAAUGCCAUUAUCUUCAUAUCGUACUCCUUCUAGAAAGCCUCCUUUGACC